This 255-nucleotide unclassified non-coding RNA is filed under the name uncultured Pleosporales. RNAcentral describes it as "sequence contains 5.8S rRNA gene, ITS2, 28S rRNA gene". Lineage: Eukaryota; Fungi; Ascomycota; Dothideomycetes; Pleosporales. The record is from RNAcentral.
AACGCACAUUGCGCCCCUUGGUAUUCCAUGGGGCAUGCCUGUUCGAGCGUCAUUUACACCCUCAAGCUCUGCUUGGUGUUGGGCGUCUGUCCCGCUGCUCUGCGCGGACUCGCCUCAAAGGUAUUGGCGGUGGCCUCUGCCAGCUUCUCGCGCAGCGAAGUUUGCGCUCAGUGAAGCACGGCGUUGGGCUCGCGUCCACUAAGCUCACCUUCAUGACUUGACCUCGGAUCAGGUAGGGAUACCCGCUGAACUUAA